This 83-nucleotide transfer RNA is filed under the name Agrocybe pediades. It matches the Rfam family "tRNA". From Rfam's summary of the family: Transfer RNA (tRNA) molecules are approximately 80 nucleotides in length. Their secondary structure includes four short double-helical elements and three loops (D, anti-codon, and T loops). Further hydrogen bonds mediate the characteristic L-shaped molecular structure. tRNAs have two regions of fundamental functional importance: the anti-codon, which is responsible for specific mRNA codon recognition, and the 3' end, to which the tRNAs corresponding amino acid is attached (by aminoacyl-tRNA synthetases). tRNAs cope with the degeneracy of the genetic code in two manners: having more than one tRNA (with a specific anti-codon) for a particular amino acid; and 'wobble' base-pairing, i.e. permitting non-standard base-pairing at the 3rd anti-codon position. Lineage: Eukaryota; Fungi; Basidiomycota; Agaricomycetes; Agaricales; Agrocybaceae. The record is from Rfam by way of RNAcentral.
GUCGGUAUCGAUUAGGGGUUAAAUCACUUCGUUGUGGUAUUUGACAUUCCGAAGAGCCGCUGGUUCGAUUCCAGCUACCGACA